UCUGAUUUCUUUCCCCACCCAGAACACCGGCCUGUAAUUAGUGCCUGUCUCUGUAGUACGCAAAACCAAACUUUAUAAACUACAGGGCGCAAGUAAUGCCUAAUCUGUUUGAGAUGCUCUGUGUCAGGAUCUAGGCUAGCUGAGGCGGCAAAGUAGCCUUGUCCCUGAAUUUAAGGCUACUUUUGAACUCUAAGGAGAGAAGGCCUAACUUUGCACAAACUCUAGUGUGCAGGCCGUGUCCGAGCCCAGCUCAGCUGAUCAGCGUGACCUUGGAGGAGCUGCUUGCCAUCUUCACCAGUGUGCUGGGGCGCUCGCCCUUUCUCCUUGUUGUUUCCCAUCACGACGUGGCCGUCAGGGGUUCCAAGAAGCUGGAAUGAGAGUAGUGCCUUCUCCGCCUCCAGGAUGUAAUCUGAGGUAAGAGGGAGAGUGUGAGGGGCCUUCACCUCCACCCUCCAUCCCUUCCACCCAUCACGAUACACAAAGCAACCACACCUUUUUCUUUUCCUUUUUUUUUUUAAAUCAGCAUCAUCAUAAUAAAUAAUAUUUAUAAUAUUUUUUAAAAUGUUAC
RNAcentral lists this long non-coding RNA (568 nucleotides) under Sus scrofa (pig). RNAcentral's name for it is "lncRNA (ENSSSCG00070005148.1)". Lineage: Eukaryota; Metazoa; Chordata; Mammalia; Artiodactyla; Suidae. The record is from RNAcentral.